ACUCCUACGGGAGGCAGCAGUGGGGAAUAUUGGACAAUGGGGAGGACCCUGAUCCAGCCAUGCCGCGUGUGUGAAGAAGGCCUUAAUGGUUGUAAAGCACUUUAAGCGAGGAGGAGGCUACUGAGACUAAUACUCUUGGAUAGUGGACGUUACUCGCAGAAUAAGCACCGGCUAACUCUGUGCCAGCAGCCGCGGUAAUACAGAGGGUGCGAGCGUUAAUCGGAUUUACUGGGCGUAAAGCGUGCGUAGGCGGCUUUUUAAGUCGGAUGUGAAAUCCCCGNGCUUAACUUGGGAAUUGGCAUUCGAUACUGGGAAGCUAGAGUAUGGGAGAGGAUGGUAGAAUUCCAGGUGUAGCGGUGAAAUGCGUAGAGAUCUGGAGGAAUACCGAUGGCGAAGGCAGCCAUCUGGCCUAAUACUGACGCUGAGGUACGAAA
This 434-nucleotide ribosomal RNA is filed under the name uncultured bacterium. RNAcentral describes it as "bacterial SSU rRNA". It matches the Rfam family "Bacterial small subunit ribosomal RNA", at positions 335 to 758 of the family's 1533-position model. The record is from RNAcentral.